AGUGUCUUCUUCACAAAGGCGUCUAUAAUUGGCAUUCAUAAUCACAAAAGUCCAGGACUUGCGUUAAUUCUCGUGACCACACCCCAGCUUUCCCGACAGCUGGGUGUCUAUUUUCUCUUUGAUGACUUUUAGAGAAGCGGGUUCUCCAGGAUCCACCUCCCUCCUUCCGCAGCGUGGACCACGCUGACUUGAUGUCAGUAGGAAACUAGUGUCUGAUGGAAUGGGAGUGUGAGAGAGAAUGGUGUGUCAAGGACGACUCCAAGGUUUUUGACUGAGCAAACUGGGAGAGUGGCGUUGGGGAAGACCAGGGCUCAGCACCAGACAGUGAGUUUGAGAUGUCCGCGACAUAGCCACGUCGAGACGUUUCAUGAGAGUUGCAGAGAUGCUUCACCGUGUCAUGAAGUGGAUGAAAUGAGAUGUGUUUGGCAAUAAGCUUGGAGUUUUUGUCACCGUUGUCAGCACCACCUCGUAAUCAACACUGCUACCACUAAUUAUUCAAUCCUUCCUAUGUGCCAGAUAUGUUAUCUUAUGUAAUUCUCAAAAUAGUCUUAAUGACACAGCUGUCACUUCUAUUUUGUAAAUGAGAAAACAGGCCUCUAGAGAUCUCACUAAUGUUACUUAUUAUAAUUAAUUCAUCAAAUAUUAAUAGAGCACUUAUUAUGUGUCAAAGGGUAUUCUGAGGUUCUACAAAUAUUAUCACAUGUAAUUCUCAAGACAAUCUUAAUAAAGUAAGGUAUCAUUGUCCUUAUUUCACAGAUGAGAAAAAUGAGAAUCUCAGAGAGUUUAGUAACAAUUAAUUAGUCGAGUAAUUAGCUCAAAAUUUGUGCCCAUUGUCUGUGCAAGAUGCUGGGGAUACAGUGGUGGGAAAGUCAGACCAUGCCAUUGGCUAUCUGGAAUUCAGAGUCUAGUAGAGGAACCUGCAGUCUGGUGGUGUGUACAAGCAGCCUGUUGCAUCCAGCGUACACAGUAAAAAAUGGCGGAGUUGCGUGAAUGAACUCAGAUCCAGGGUGAUUCACUGUGUCCUGUUGCCUC
This 1032-nucleotide long non-coding RNA is filed under the name Equus caballus (horse). Its description in RNAcentral is "lncRNA (ENSECAG00000050594.1)". Lineage: Eukaryota; Metazoa; Chordata; Mammalia; Perissodactyla; Equidae. The record is from RNAcentral.